GGUCGGAUAGCUUACGGGUCAGAGCAUCUGCCUCGUAAGCAGAAGACCCGGGUUCGAAUCCCGGUUCGGCACA
This is a non-coding RNA of Schistocerca americana (American grasshopper), 73 nucleotides long. The record is from the annotation of a RefSeq genome assembly. NCBI's taxonomy places the organism in Eukaryota, Metazoa, Arthropoda, Insecta, Orthoptera, Acrididae.